GAUGAACGCUGGCGGCGUGCUUAACACAUGCAAGUCGAACGAUGAAGCCCAGCUUGCUGGGUGGAUUAGUGGCGAACGGGUGAGUAACACGUGAGUAACCUGCCCUUGACUCUGGGAUAAGCGCUGGAAACGGCGUCUAAUACCGGAUACGAGCUUCCACCGCAUGGUGAGUUGCUGGAAAGAAUUUCGGUCAAGGAUGGACUGGCGGCCUAUCAGGUAGUUGGUGAGGUAACGGCUCACCAAGCCGACGACGGGUAGCCGGCCUGUGAGGGUGACCGGCCACACUGGGACUGAGACACGGCCCAGACUCCUACGGGAGGCAGCAGUGGGGAAUAUUGCACAAUGGGCGCAAGCCUGAUGCAGCAACGCCGCGUGAGGGACGAAGGCCUUCGGGUCGUAAACCUCUUUUAGCAGGGAAGAAGCGAAAGUGACGGUACCUGCAGAAAAAGCACCGGCUAACUACGUG
This 466-nucleotide ribosomal RNA is filed under the name uncultured bacterium. Its description in RNAcentral is "partial 16S ribosomal RNA". It matches the Rfam family "Bacterial small subunit ribosomal RNA", at positions 28 to 507 of the family's 1533-position model. The record is from RNAcentral.